UCCAUCGGUCGACCUGCCUCGUGCCAGUUUAUGGGCGUCAUCAGGCCGGAAGGUGUUUCCCGUGUUGAAGCCGCCACACCUGUCUUCCAUCUAGAUUGGCCACUACUUAACUGAGCUUCAGUCAACGCUGGAUCGUUGAGUUACCGAGAACUUGGAGAGGAGUGU
Molecule: long non-coding RNA, 165 nt
Organism: Oreochromis aureus
Lineage: Eukaryota; Metazoa; Chordata; Actinopteri; Cichliformes; Cichlidae
Exons: 3
Source: RefSeq, a predicted model, not a curated record